CCCCCACACUGGCACUGAGAUACGGGCCAGACUUCUACGGAAGGCAGCAGUCGGGGAUAUUGCACAAUCGGCGAAAGCCGUGAUGCAGCGACGCCGCGUGGGCGAUGAAUGCCUUCGGGUUGUAAAGCCCUUAUAUGGGGGAAGAGACAAGGACGGUACCCCAAGAAUAAGCGUCGGCUAACUACGUGCCAGCAGCCGCGGUAAAACGUAGGACGCAAGCGUUAUCCGGAUUUACUGGGCGUAAAUAGCGUUGAGGCGGUUCCGUAAGUUGGUCGUGAAAGCCCCGGGCUUAACCCGGGGAGGUCGUUCAAUACUGCUGGACUUGAUGGCAGCAGAGGGAGGCGGAAUACCCGGUGUAGCGGUGAAAUGCGUAGAUAUCGGGAGGAACACCAGUGCCGAAGGCGGCCUCCUGGGCUGAUUCGGACGCUGAAGGCGAAAGCUAGGCGAGCGAACGGGAUUAGAAACCCCGGUAGUCCUAGCCGUAAACGAUGGAUCCUGGGUAUGGGGGGUAUAGAUCCCCUCUGUGCCGAAGCUAACGCGUUAAGCAUCCCGCCUGGGGAUUACGGCCGCAAGGCUUAAACUCAAACGAAUUGACGGGGGCCCGCACAAGCAGCGGAGCGUGUGGUUUAAUUCGAUGCUACACGAAGAACCUUACCUGGGCUUGACAUGUAGGUAGUAGUGAAGCGUAAGCGGAACGACCCUUCGGGGAGCCUACACAGGUGCUGCAUGGCUGUCGUCAGUUCGUGCCGUGAGGUGUCGGGUUAAGUCCCGUAACGAACGCAACCCUUGCCCUUAGUUACAUGUGUCUAAGGGGACUGCCCGGGACAACUGGGAGGAAGCUGGGGAUGACGUCGAGUCAGCAUGGCCUUUAUGUCCAGGGCUACACACACGCUACAAUGGCCGGUACAAUGGGUCGCCAAGCCGUGAGUCGGAGCCAAUCCCCCAAAGCCGGUCUAAGUUCGGAUUGUGGGCUGCAACUCGCCCAUAUGAAGCUGGAGUUGCUAGUAACCGCGCGUCAGCAAUAGUACGGUGUAUACGUUCCCGGG
Molecule: ribosomal RNA, 1046 nt
Filed under: uncultured organism
Description: bacterial SSU rRNA
Rfam family: Bacterial small subunit ribosomal RNA
Source: RNAcentral